AACACAUACACAUAAAAUACGUAAUCAGCAAAGGUGAGUACUACAUAGUAAAUAAAUAAAACCUAACGUGAUACUGAUAAAUAUUAAGCAGGAAUAAAUAAUACGACUAUUACACCAAAUAUGUAACACCCCGUAUUUUUUAUUCAUGUUUAGCAAUUCGUUAUAUUAUUUUAGUUUAUAAAAUAAUAUUUUUUUUUAGAAUGUCCUUUUAAUCAAUAUAUUUUAUUUUCCACUUAUUGACCUUAACUUAGAAGGGUCAAAAGUUAAUUCCUAAUUUGACUAGGUUAAGUAUCAUUAAGUUAGCUAAACCAACUUAUAAAAGAAAAGUAAAGGAAAAGAAAAAAAAAAAGAAAAAAAAGUUAGAACUUAGAAGGGGAAGCAGUAGAAACCACGACACUUUUUAGUUUCCUUCUAAACUCCAUCUUCCUUCCUUUCUUUUCAUCCAACCUUCAACUCCAUUAAAACUAACCAUCAUCACUUUAAUUGUUGUUCAUCUUUCUUCAAUACUUUCUCAGUUUUUGUGGGUAUUUCAAAGAGAGAGAAUUGGGUUUUAUACUUGCAAUUUUCGGGUCGAAAAUCGGAUCAAGUAGACGAAAUUUCGGGUCUUUUUACACUCUUCUACGUUCUAAUUGCGUUAUUAAUCAAAUCGCGAGUUCGUAGAAGAACCCUUAUCACUUGUAAUUGAGAUUGGUUGAUAGUGGUUUGCUAAUAAGGGCUUGAUGGUGACUAGCUUAUAUUAGGGUGAGAGCGUUGACUUCACCUAGAUGUAGAUUUAUUAAAGUUAAGACUUCCGCUGCAAUAGAUUAGAAUUAUGGUUUGUUAUAGGAGUGUAUUAAUUAAUUACAUUUUCUUUUAGUUGUAAUAGUUAAUAAUUAAUUUAUGGUAGUAGUACCUUUC
Molecule: long non-coding RNA, 897 nt
Organism: Beta vulgaris subsp. vulgaris (sugar beet)
Lineage: Eukaryota; Viridiplantae; Streptophyta; Magnoliopsida; Caryophyllales; Amaranthaceae
Exons: 3
Source: RefSeq, a predicted model, not a curated record